UUCCGACUCAUUUUUCCUUUGUGUAAUGUUGUUAUUUCCGAAUGCCAGCAUGGAUGCUGGCUUAGGCUUCUUCGGCACAUGGAUGUGCCGUUGAAGCCGUUCGGAAAAAUAACCACAUGGAGCAAAGAAACAGAAAAAUGU
Regulatory RNA element from Vibrio rumoiensis 1S-45, 141 nucleotides. Lineage: Bacteria; Pseudomonadati; Pseudomonadota; Gammaproteobacteria; Vibrionales; Vibrionaceae. The record is from Rfam.